GGGAUAACCCCCAUGGAGCUGGACUUGCUUCAGUGGGACUUUGGUGCUCACUGAGUCCGCCCCUUAAGUGUAUCACU
Molecule: microRNA precursor, 77 nt
Filed under: Myotis lucifugus (little brown bat)
Lineage: Eukaryota; Metazoa; Chordata; Mammalia; Chiroptera; Vespertilionidae
Description: mir-9229 microRNA precursor family
Rfam family: mir-9229 microRNA precursor family
Source: Rfam by way of RNAcentral